GACGAACGCUGGCGGCGUGCUUAACACAUGCAAGUCGAACGGAAAGGCCCUGCUUUUGUGGGGUGCUCGAGUGGCGAACGGGUGAGUAACACGUGAGUAACCUGCCCUUGACUUUGGGAUAACUUCAGGAAACUGGGGCUAAUACCGGAUAGGAGCUCCUGCUGCAUGGUGGGGGUUGGAAAGUUUCGGCGGGUGGGGAUGGACGCGCGGCUUAUCAGCUUGUUGGUGGGGUAGUGGCUUACCCAGGCUUUGACGGGUAGCCGGCAUGGGAGGGGGACCGGCGACAAUGGGACUGAGAUACGGCCCAGACUCCUAUGGGAGGCAGCAGUGGGGAAUAUUGUACAAUGGGCGGAAGCCGGAUGCAGCAACGCCGCGUGCGGGAUGACGGCCUUCGGGUUGUAAAACGCUUCCGCCUGUGACGAAGCGUGAGUGACGGUAAUGGGUAAAGAAGCACCGGCUAACUACGUG
RNAcentral lists this ribosomal RNA (468 nucleotides) under uncultured bacterium. RNAcentral describes it as "partial 16S ribosomal RNA". It matches the Rfam family "Bacterial small subunit ribosomal RNA", at positions 28 to 507 of the family's 1533-position model. The record is from RNAcentral.